UACGGAGGGUGCAAGCGUUAAUCGGAAUUACUGGGCGUAAAGGGUGCGUAGGUGGUUGUAUAAGUUAACUGUGAAAUCCCCGGGCUCAACCUGGGCAGGUCAGUUAAGACUGUAUGACUCGAGUAUGGGAGAGGGUAGUGGAAUUUCCGGUGUAGCGGUGAAAUGCGUAGAGAUCGGAAGGAACACCAGUGGCGAAGGCGGCUACCUGGCCCAAUACUGACACUGAGGCACGAAAGCGUGGGGAGCAAACAGG
RNAcentral lists this ribosomal RNA (253 nucleotides) under uncultured bacterium. RNAcentral describes it as "partial 16S ribosomal RNA". It matches the Rfam family "Bacterial small subunit ribosomal RNA", at positions 524 to 776 of the family's 1533-position model. The record is from RNAcentral.